CCUACGGGAGGCAGCAGUGAGGAAUAUUGGUCAAUGGACGAGAGUCUGAACCAGCCAAGUAGCGUGAAGGAUGACUGCCCUAUGGGUUGUAAACUUCUUUUAUAUGGGAAUAAAAUGUUCCACGUGUGGGAUUUUGUAUGUACCAUAUGAAUACGGAUCGGCUAACUCCGUGCCAGCAGCCGCGGUAAUACGGAGGAUCCGAGCGUUAUCCGGAUUUAUUGGGUUUAAAGGGAGCGUAGGUGGAUUGUUAAGUCAGUUGUGAAAGUUUGCGGCUCAACCGUAAAAUUGCAGUUGAAACUGGCAGUCUUGAGUACAGGAGAGGUGGGCGGAAUUCGUGGUGUAGCGGUGAAAUGCUUAGAUAUCACGAAGAACUCCGAUUGCGAAGGCAGUUCACUGGACUGCAACUGACACUGAGGCUCGAAAGUGUGGGUAUCAAACAGGAUUAGAUACCCUUGUAGUC
Molecule: ribosomal RNA, 460 nt
Filed under: uncultured bacterium
Lineage: Bacteria
Description: partial 16S ribosomal RNA
Rfam family: Bacterial small subunit ribosomal RNA
Source: RNAcentral